RNAcentral lists this transfer RNA (67 nucleotides) under Zonotrichia leucophrys (white-crowned sparrow). Its description in RNAcentral is "tRNA-Cys". Lineage: Eukaryota; Metazoa; Chordata; Aves; Passeriformes; Passerellidae. RNAcentral also lists the same sequence under 9 other names. The record is from RNAcentral.
GGCUCUGUAGUGAAGUUCAUAGUGAGUUGCAAGCUCAUUGAUGUGCAUUGAUUAUGUACCGGAGCCU